Apodemus sylvaticus (European woodmouse) is the source of this 143-nucleotide small nucleolar RNA. The record is from RefSeq and is a predicted model, not a curated record. Lineage: Eukaryota; Metazoa; Chordata; Mammalia; Rodentia; Muridae.
GCGCCGCCUUUGAGCCGCCCCACCCCCACCCUACCACCCCAGUAGUGCUGGGGAUUAAGCUGUGGCGCCAUAGCACUUUGCUGGCGCAUAACUGGGGCCCGCCUGCCCUUCGCAGGAGACCCUUUUAACUGCUAGCUACAGGC